RNAcentral lists this transfer RNA (86 nucleotides) under Pyramidobacter sp. RNAcentral describes it as "tRNA-Ser". It matches the Rfam family "tRNA". From Rfam's summary of the family: Transfer RNA (tRNA) molecules are approximately 80 nucleotides in length. Their secondary structure includes four short double-helical elements and three loops (D, anti-codon, and T loops). The record is from RNAcentral. Lineage: Bacteria; Thermotogati; Synergistota; Synergistia; Synergistales; Dethiosulfovibrionaceae.
GGAGGGAUGGCCGAGUGGUCUAAGGCGGUAGUCUUGAAAACUAUUGAGCGCAAGCUCCGGGAGUUCGAAUCUCUUUCCCUCCGCCA